CCCUCCCACGGCUACUGGGUCACCAGUGGUUGACUCAAAGCAAAACACAGUGUUGAGGUGAAGUCUUCCCUAGUACAGUAAGAGUGAUGCUAGCCAGGGGUUCUCAGGACAAAUGACACAUUAAGUUCGUCUCAUGGCCACCUUUACUAAAAUGAUCCAGUAGCCGACUCUUUUGUAGCCCAAGAUUACCAAGAUCUUCCAUAUGCCAGAAGGGGCUAGAAAUAGUCCCCUGCCAAGUGGAUUCUUUGCUAGACCCUUGCAGAAAGAAUGAAUAGAGGAAAUAGUUUCAAGAAGGCAAAUUAUACCAGAAGAGAAGAGGACACAGGAGGCAACAGUGAACAAAGCUCACAGAUAAUCUGUAUUUCCCAGCUCUUUUACAAUGGGGCCUUAUGACUGAG
This 398-nucleotide long non-coding RNA is filed under the name Homo sapiens (human). RNAcentral's name for it is "LHRI_LNC138.1". Lineage: Eukaryota; Metazoa; Chordata; Mammalia; Primates; Hominidae. The record is from RNAcentral.